GCCUUCGUGGUGUAGUGGUAGUACGUUCGACGCAUAUCUGAGAGAUCCGUGGUUCGAUUCCCGGCGAGGACA
This 72-nucleotide transfer RNA is filed under the name Stegodyphus mimosarum. It matches the Rfam family "tRNA". Rfam says of the family: Transfer RNA (tRNA) molecules are approximately 80 nucleotides in length. Their secondary structure includes four short double-helical elements and three loops (D, anti-codon, and T loops). Lineage: Eukaryota; Metazoa; Arthropoda; Arachnida; Araneae; Eresidae. The record is from Rfam by way of RNAcentral.